GAUAAACGCUGGCGGCGUGCCUAACACAUGCAAGUCGAACGCCUUCUGGCUCCGGUCAGAGGGAGUGGCGGACGGGUGAGUAACACGUGGGUAAUCGACCCUCAAGUGAGGAAUACCGCCGGGAAACCGGUGACAAUACCGCAUAGGCUCUCGCAAGAGAGCAAAGCUUCGCAAGAGGCGCUUGAGGACGAGCCUGCGUCCGAUUAGUUAGCUGGUGGGGUAAUGGCCUACCAGGGCAAUGAUCGGUAGCUGGUCUGAGAGGAUGAUCAGCCACACU
RNAcentral lists this ribosomal RNA (277 nucleotides) under uncultured bacterium. RNAcentral's name for it is "partial 16S ribosomal RNA". It matches the Rfam family "Bacterial small subunit ribosomal RNA", at positions 28 to 314 of the family's 1533-position model. The record is from RNAcentral.